This is a small nuclear RNA of Lates calcarifer (barramundi perch), 191 nucleotides long. Its record names the gene U2. It matches the Rfam family "U2 spliceosomal RNA". Rfam says of the family: U2 is a small nuclear RNA (snRNA) component of the spliceosome (involved in pre-mRNA splicing). Complementary binding between U2 snRNA (in an area lying towards the 5' end but 3' to hairpin I) and the branchpoint sequence (BPS) of the intron results the bulging out of an unpaired adenosine, on the BPS, which initiates a nucleophilic attack at the intronic 5' splice site, thus starting the first of two transesterification reactions that mediate splicing. The record is from Ensembl. NCBI's taxonomy places the organism in Eukaryota, Metazoa, Chordata, Actinopteri, Centropomidae.
AUCGCUUCUCGGCCUUUUGGCUAAGAUCAAGUGUAGUAUCUGUUCUUAUCAGUUUAAUAUCUGAUACGUCCCCUACCCGGGGACCAUAUAUUAAAUUGAUUUUUGGAUCAGGGAGCCGGAACGGGGGCUUGCUCCUUCCACUCCACGCAUCGACCCAGUAUUGCAUUACCUCCAGGUACGGUGCACAUUCU